This is a long non-coding RNA of Asparagus officinalis (garden asparagus), 679 nucleotides long. RefSeq lists it as uncharacterized. The transcript has 3 exons. NCBI's taxonomy places the organism in Eukaryota, Viridiplantae, Streptophyta, Magnoliopsida, Asparagales, Asparagaceae. The record is from RefSeq and is a predicted model, not a curated record.
AUAAGCUCAACCACCAAAGUGUGCAAACUUGUGCAAUCCCUCAAAAGAACUAUUGGCUCAACAGAUCCUCGAAAUUUCUUCAGCUUCUCCUCCAAACCCUGCAAUGAGUUUUGAAAAAAAAAAGAGCUAGCAAUGGUCGUCAUUGAGGACUCAACGAAGAAUUCAGUGGAAUCAGGAUCAGGAAGCAUAAGUAGAUAACCGGAUCAUUUUUGUGUUUACUACUCAGGGAGGAAGCAGGGACCAACUACUGAAUGCGUAGACUGGUUCUAUAUUGAUGAAGAAAUUGGUAAGAGAUACAGAUCGAGAAAAAAAGUGUUUCAAGCAUCUGACACAAAAGAACAGACCUCAAAUUGAGCCUGUAACUGAUACUCCUUCCAUGGCGCAGCAACCAUCUGAGGCAACAAAAGCUGAAGUGAGAGAAUGGAAGCCUAAGAACCUGACGUAACAAAACCUGACAGCGAUGAGGGCCAUCCCUUUUGUUGAUGGAGUGGAGGUGGCUAAAGAAAUUCGUCGAGUUUGGGCUGAGGAUUUUAAGAAACAACUAAAUAACAAGAAAUUGUUAGUAUAAAAUACUUUUAGUUUAUGGUAUUUUUUAUAUUCACCACAUUUAAUCUUUCUGAUUCUAAUAAUUUGUAGCAUUUUUUCCCUUUCUUAGGAGGAAGCGCAUGAACUAAAGAGA